Long non-coding RNA from Biomphalaria glabrata, 2371 nucleotides. RefSeq lists it as uncharacterized. The record is from RefSeq and is a predicted model, not a curated record. The transcript is spliced from 2 exons. Lineage: Eukaryota; Metazoa; Mollusca; Gastropoda; Planorbidae.
CCCAAAUAACAUCCAAUUCUUCUAAAAGCUAUAAAAAGAUAUGAUAUUGUUUCGAAUAUUUCUUCGCCCAAUAAAAUUUUAGAAUCAUUAGGCUCUACUUCAAUAGAAAGUGAUUGUACACAUAAACAUGUAGACUUUCACCCAGAUGUAGUGACCUAUGGCUAUAAACUUUAUCUACAAAUACGACCUUACACACAACACUCUACUAUAUAUAUAUAAUAGAACACUAAACACGUAAAUUUUAUGUAAAUGCCCAUUUAUAAGUUUGUAAAAUAAUAAUUUGUUUUUAUAAAAAUCUGGCUAUGCCUAUAGUACUCUUAACAAAAUUAUGACUAAAAAUAUUAUGAACGUCGAGUUGCUAGAUUCAUCAUCUUUGUGUGUCUGAUAAACCCAGAGAAUCAAGAUAUAAUAGUAUAUAGGCCCCCUAUUAUAUAGAAUCUAGCUCUAGUCGACUGUAGACUAGAUCUAGGAUAAAUCUCAAGUCUAGAUGAUCAGCUUCAUCUUACCUUGAUCAUGGCAUGAUCAACAUGAACAUGAUAAUUAAUGAUUUUAUUAAUCUGACUAAUGACUUGUUAACUUAAAUUUCGACUUAGCCUUAGCUUCUUCAUAUAUGUGAAUCAUGAAUGGAAGCGCUUGGCUCACAGUGUCACAGAUCGUUCUUUAAACUAUUUGAAGAUCUACUUUAUCUUUACUAACGACUCUAAUCUAUAUCUAGUUUAUAUCUAUAUUUUAUACGAUAAUAAUAGACCUAGACUCUUAUAAGAUCUAGAAUCUGUAUCUAGAUCUAUUCCUGUGUUGUAAAUAAAACAUAUUAUAUUCCCUCCAGCCUGUGCAGGGUAUUUUUAAAGUGAUAAUUGGCUCAUGCAGGCCAAUACCACUCUUUUGUUAUCUAAGGUGUUUUCCUUCAAAUUAUACUUUCUUGCAUAAGAUUUAAAUAUAUUAUGCAACAAUUCUCAAUUAGAAGUACAGAUUAUCCAGUUAUCUUGGUGGAAAAGGAGAUUUCAGAUGAGUUGAGACAAUGCUUAAAGAAAGUCUUUACAUGAUUCUUUGAACUAAGUCACUAUAAAUAUUUUGGAGAUUUUUAAAAUUUAAUUAGAAUUUUAUUAUUGCUCACAGUAAAAGCAAUUGUUCUUUUCUUUUCCACAGAUGUAUAUUUCAAGAAGAAAUGAUGCUUUCUUAUUCCUAAGAGUUUAUCAAUAGGAUGAAUGCCACAAAACUCACUUGUUAUGCCAGAAACUCUUCCUACGAAACUUCCAUACUAGAAUUUGUCCAGUGCCUGUGAUCCUCUGAGUUGAAGGAGAAUGUGCUCCAUAAUACCUACUAGGAGCUUGCUGAUAGCUGGAAGUUCAUGAAUACUAUGUUGUCCUUGAUUUUAUGAUUCUGAAAACUACCAUUUCUGAAGACUUGAGCAUUAUUUCUAUAAUUUAAAAAAAUCUUUUCAGGAAAUAUUGUGUUUAUAAUAUUAAGAAAGUGAAGAUAAUAUUGUUCUUACUAAUAUUAUUGACUUAUUAAAAUAGAAAGCACAUCAUUACUUCAAUAUUCACUUGUCAGUAAAUGUUAGCAUUAUUCAAUUUCCUGUAAAAAGUCUAUAAUAAUAAGUUAAUGUCGAUGUAGUAUUGUUCAGACACUUACAAGUUUAAUCCUCUAUACUUCACAAAAAAAAAGUGUUUGAAUGGUUUUCAUUUGUUUGUACAUCAAAUAUGUAUUAAUAUAAUUAUCAUUUUUAGAUGAAACAUUAAAUACUGAAGAUGACCAUUUCAAAUUCUGAUGUAGGCCUAUUCUCAUUUCAUAAAACAAACAGAAUAUUAUCUGAAAUUUCAUCCUUUCAUGGUAACUGUAACUGGCUUCAUAAAAAAAUGGAUUGAUGACUUGGUUGACUAUACAUUUUUGUAUAAAUAAUGCAUCAAUGAAUGUAGCUUAUACUGUUCUUUUCCUCAUCUUGAAAUGUGCUGACUGAUAAUUUGCUGUUGCAUUUUGUUUUCAUAAGUCAAUGACGCAUGAUACUCUAAAUGACAAAUAUCUUCUACUCAUUACAAUAGCACAUUUCCAUGCUGUUUGUCUAAGUGGAAGCAGAUAAAAUUUGUUCCUCUAUUUGCUGUAAAAUCUCAAAAUUCAUGAGCAGCUGAAAAAAAAAAGAAAAGAAAUUCAAACUAGUUUAGACAUGUUAUAAAUAUAUGUUACAAAUAUAUAUAUAUAUUUGCUAAUAAAAAAUGUAAGACUACUUUAUGUUACAACAAUGGACAGCAUCUUUAAAGCUGAUUUCAAUGCAAUCACAAGAAAUAAUUUUUUCUCUACAAUUAGGCCUGCUUUAAUUAUUUUUUUUUAAUGUAAAUAAAUUUUAUGCAUAGGAUUAAAUAUAACAUGUACUUAA